RNAcentral lists this RNase P RNA (454 nucleotides) under Pontixanthobacter rizhaonensis. RNAcentral's name for it is "Bacterial RNase P class A". It matches the Rfam family "Bacterial RNase P class A". Rfam says of the family: Ribonuclease P (RNase P) is a ubiquitous endoribonuclease, found in archaea, bacteria and eukarya as well as chloroplasts and mitochondria. Its best characterised activity is the generation of mature 5'-ends of tRNAs by cleaving the 5'-leader elements of precursor-tRNAs. Lineage: Bacteria; Pseudomonadati; Pseudomonadota; Alphaproteobacteria; Sphingomonadales; Erythrobacteraceae. The record is from Rfam by way of RNAcentral.
UCAGGGGGCCGGGCAACUGCGUAUGGGGUGACCCAUCCGAGGAAAGUCCGGGCUCCACGAAAUAAGGGUGGCGGGUAACGCCCGCCGGGCUUCGAUCCUUACGGGGUAAGAGGUUUAGGGAUAGUGCCACAGAGAGCAAACCGCCUGUGCGUUUCGGAAGGAGCACGCGUUCCUUUUGGAAAACGGCAGGUAAGGGUGAAAGGGUGCGGUAAGAGCGCACCGCGCGAUUGGUAACAAUCGCGGCAUGGUAAACCCCACCCGGAGCAAGGCCAAAUAGGGGCGGCGCGCCGAGGGCUUCGGUCCAAGGCAGGUCUAUUUCGGACCGUGAUCGCCCGGGUUGGCUGCUUGAGCUGCGGAGCAAUCCGUAGCCUAGAGGAAUGGUUGCCCUUGGCGGGCAGGUCCCUUGCGGAUACCGCCGCUGAGACAGAACCCGGCUUAUAGGCCCCCUGACGUU